GCCGGCAGCUAGCUCUCUGCAAUUCUCACAUGGUCACCCACUGAAGUCAUACAGGGCUGUACCUGGUCAGUACUGGGAUGUGAGACCACAUGGGAAAGCUAGGAUGCUGCCAGAA
This 115-nucleotide ribosomal RNA is filed under the name Danio rerio (zebrafish). Lineage: Eukaryota; Metazoa; Chordata; Actinopteri; Cypriniformes; Danionidae. The record is from RNAcentral.